AGAGAGAGAGAGAGAGAUAUAUAUUAUAGAAAUAGAGAUUAGGAGAGGGAUAGUAUAGAGAGUAAUAAUAAUAUAUGGAUAGAUUAGUUAAUGUUAAUAGAAAAUAAUAAGUGGGAGAGCGCAAAGAGAGAGAGAGAGUGUAAUAAUAAUGGUUAGAUAUAUUAGUAUUAAAUUUGAAAUUUAAUCUUUUAAAAGUUCAAAAUAUAGAGAGAAAGAAGAAGAGAGAGAGAG
This 231-nucleotide unclassified non-coding RNA is filed under the name Hevea brasiliensis (rubber tree). The record is from RNAcentral. Lineage: Eukaryota; Viridiplantae; Streptophyta; Magnoliopsida; Malpighiales; Euphorbiaceae.